Molecule: ribosomal RNA, 365 nt
Filed under: uncultured Parabacteroides sp.
Lineage: Bacteria; Pseudomonadati; Bacteroidota; Bacteroidia; Bacteroidales; Tannerellaceae
Description: bacterial SSU rRNA
Rfam family: Bacterial small subunit ribosomal RNA
Source: RNAcentral
UGAGGAAUAUUGGUCAAUGGACGCAAGUCUGAACCAGCCAUGCCGCGUGAAGGAAUAAGGCCCUAUGGGUCGUAAACUUCUUUUGUAUGUGAGCAAUAAGGUCCACGUGUGGUCCGAUGAGAGUAGCAUACGAAUAAGCAUCGGCUAACUCCGUGCCAGCAGCCGCGGUAAUACGGAGGAUGCAAGCGUUAUCCGGAUUCAUUGGGUUUAAAGGGUGCGUAGGCGGCUUGGUAAGUCAGCGGUGAAAUUCCAGUGCUCAACAUUGGCCGUGCCGUUGAUACUGCUGGGCUUGAAUGCGUGCGAGGAAGGCGGAAUGCGUUGUGUAGCGGUGAAAUGCAUAGAUAUGACGCAGAACUCCGAUUGCG